This is a long non-coding RNA of Chenopodium quinoa (quinoa), 1043 nucleotides long. RefSeq lists it as uncharacterized. Lineage: Eukaryota; Viridiplantae; Streptophyta; Magnoliopsida; Caryophyllales; Amaranthaceae. The transcript is spliced from 4 exons. The record is from RefSeq and is a predicted model, not a curated record.
CUCGCCUUUCCUCCGUCCAUUCUUUCACCUCCUCUCUCUUCUCUUCUCACCUUUAAUGAAACUCCAUUUCCCCUUUCUUCGUUAUCCCCUCUUUCUCUCCCUUCCUCUUACCCUUCCCCUUUCUCUGUGCAAUUAAGCACCACGAAAGUCCGCUGCAACCAUAGGCGGAGUAAAAAAGCCCCACCAUUUCCAACCUAUAAUCGUCGCUCAUCAGAUCAGGAAUUCAGUUGCACUUCAAAAGGUCGCUUUCUCUCUCUUCUAGAACUCCGUCGUCGUCACCACCUUUUAUGAAUCCAUUCCUAUAGGUGAUUUGAAUUCGUCACCAACAAAUCGCGCCGGCCACCACAACGAUGCUCUAUUCGGUUGAUUUUUUUUUUUUCUACGAAACCCUGAUUUCAUAAUCUCUCCAUUUCAUCAGUUAUAAGUUAUAAGUGAUCCUAAUUUCUGCAAUUAAUUCAGAAUUUCAAAGACCUCCGGCGAGGCAACGACUAGAGAUGACGGACGACCAGACCGGCGGACCCCACCUUCGGUUGUGGAUUGUUCCUUCACUUUCCCAAAAUCUCCAAUCUAAUUUUAAACACACUGGUAACACACUUCCCUUGACAUGUACGCCCAUAAAGUUUGGUUCAUGGAUGGGAGGUGAUCGAGAUGGCAAUCCUAAUGUGACUGCCAUGGCCGGUGCAAGAAUCUAGCAAGCAAGGUGUUCUUCCUGGAAAACCAGUUCCUGAUCAGGGAGUGAGUAUUCAGGGUGUUGAUGUGCUUGUGGCCUGCGUGGGGUUUAGUGCUGUUCUUCUUAGACUUUUGAAGCUGCUGCUGCUGUUGGGCUGCCUGUUGCUGGGGUGUUGCUGUUUUUCUUUUGGUGUAGCUGCUGCUAGUGCCUAACGUUAAUGAGUAUGGUUUAUAUUUUUGGGGAAUAAAUAGAGUAUUUUUAGAUGUUUUUGUAUAGUAUUUUUGAAGGUUACAUUUGAAUUUUUAUUAAUGAAUGUUUGUAAAAGUGUUCAUCCACUUAAGUUUAAUAAUAUAUUUUUUUAAUAGAAGUUUAA